AUUGAACGCUGGCGGCAGGCCUAACACAUGCAAGUCGAGCGGAGCGGCGGACGGGGGAGGAAUGCCUGGGAAUCUACCUGGUAGUGGGGGAUAACGUACGGGAACGGGCGCUAAUACCGCAUACUUGAAAGGCGCCUUCGGUGGGAUUAGCUGGUUGGUGGGGUAACGGCCUACCAAGGCGACGAGCCGUAACUGGUCUGAGAGGAUGAUCCGUCACACUGGAACUGAGACACGGUCCAGACUCCUACGGGAGGCAGCAGUGGGGAAUAUUGGACAAUGGGCGAAAGCCUGACCCAGCCACGCCGCGUGUGUGAAGAAGGUCUUCGGAUUGCAAAGCACUUUAAGUUGAGAGGCGUUACCAACCGAAUAAGCACCGGCUAACUACGUGCCAGCCGCCGCGGUAAUAC
Molecule: ribosomal RNA, 407 nt
Filed under: uncultured bacterium
Lineage: Bacteria
Description: partial 16S ribosomal RNA
Rfam family: Bacterial small subunit ribosomal RNA
Source: RNAcentral